AAAUUAUCAAGACCAAUAUUCUCUAAAUUGAAAGUCUUCACAAAAAAGGUUAUACUCAUGAAAAGGUAAACACCCACGGAAUAAAUGUUUUCUAUUUACAUGAAGAUAUUUAAAUGAUCAAGAUACAAUAUUUUAAUAACCUAACCUCGUCUAAUAAAAAAAGAAGUUCAUUGGAGCACAACUUAAAUGAAUAAGCACAAAGAAGUUUUGCAUGAUAGAUGGCAAUUAUUUGAUUAAAAUAGGAUUUCUGAUUCAUUACAUAAUUAUAGACCUCUGUGUUUAGUCCUAAUCUUAAAAUCAGAAUUUCGUAACAAUUAUUUUAUUCCUUGAACUGGACAUGCUAAUAAUUGGACUAUUAUGCAGCUUGUAACAUUAGCACACAAUGUUUUAAAUAUUGAUUCUGGAUAAUUUUUCUCAGGUAAAUGUGUUUGGAAUAGCAUAACUUUGUUUGUAAUCGUCACCAUGUUAGGUAAGUUAGGUAUACAUUUAGAAUUUGUUUAUAGAAAUCAGGUUAUGUUUGUACUAUUUGAUGGGGUGUUUAUAUUGAUGUACAAGAAUUUUGUUGGUCCAUAACACUGGAUCAUAAAGCCAAUUUAAUAACAUUCCAAUCGAUUUGAUAUUUUAGUCUUAGUCAUGCAGUCAGUGCAGUUGUAAACCAUUUCAAGAUUAUUUUAACGGUUUAACUUGUUUCUUUGUUUAUAGUCUGGAUAUUAACCUUAAAAUUCUUGAUGGAAUUACUCUUGUCAAAUGUUUAAGAAUUUUAAGAUAUUUUGACAUUUUAAUACAUUAAUAAAGAAGGACUUAGUCUUCCAAAGCAUUGAUUUUCCUCACAUUUAACAUGGAUAUUUAAAUCAUGUAUAUAUACACAACGUCAAUUCUAUUUCAUGAUUUGCAGAGAAUUUAAAUUAGAGACAAUAGUCUAUACACCUCAUUGCUAUUUGUCCACCAUUACUGGACAUACAUGUAACAGAAGUUCCUGUAAAAUUUUGAAAUCACAAGAGAAAAUGUUUAAUGCCACAAAGGAAAUAUGAUUGUUGUAUGACAUCAAUAGUUCAAGUGUCACAAAAUCUCAGGUCAAGUGUUGCAGAUCCCAAAAUAGCAGCAAGAUCUAUUGCUUCUCUUGGGUUUAGUUUAAACAUAUUUUAUUUGCUGAAUUAAAGCAAAAUGGAUUAGACACAAGUAAAUUCUUUCCCAUUAUCUUGGAUGUCUUCAUACAAUUUGUUGUAAUAUUUGCAAAUGUACAGACCAUCAGGACACAAAUAUUUUCUUUCAUGCCACAAUUGUUUAUUUUCUCACCCGGCAGCAAUUUCUUAUUUGACAUCUUGUUUGCUGUACCUGUUUUUAUUUUUGAGUGCCAAGCUUCAAGGGCAUUUAGGUCAUGAUCCCAAGAAACAGCUCCGCAUUUCCUCUUUAAGGGAUCUAGCUGAAGGUAGCCUUUUGCAUUGUAAAAUUAAUGGCCUCGCUUUAAAAAACUUCCAGCCCAUCAACCAGAUCUUUCAAAAGGGGUUUCCAAAUGUAAAAUCAAAGAUUUAAGGGCACACCAACAAUAAUACCCCACCCCUAUAAUUGGAAUAUUGUUGCAUUUUUUAGGUUUCUAUUACCCUACAACAUUUAUUUAUGUGUCUUGCUUAUUUGCAUCAGUUGAAGUCCCCUUGCAUGUCACCAUCCACUUUUGAAAUAUGAGGGAACAAGAAUGUGUCCACAUUACACAGAUGCCCCACUCGCACUAUCAUUUUCUAUGUUUAGUGGACUGUGAAAUUGGAAUAAAUUCUCUAAUUUGGCAUUAAAAUUAGAAAGAUCUUAUCAAAGGGAACAUGUAUACUAAGUUUCAAGUUGAUUGGACUUCAAACUUCAUCAAAAACUCCUUGACCAAAAUUUAACCUGAGCGGACAGACGGAUGACGAACAGACGGCGGACGGACAGACGGAGGAAGAACGAACGGAUGUGCAGACCAGAAAACAUAAUGCCCCUCUACUAUCGUAGGUGGGGCAUAAAAACAUGUCAGUAUCAUAUAUAUAGGUCUCUUGAAGGCUUUUUGCCAGAAAGGCAUUAGUAAACUUUUUCUAAGCUCUUAUCAUUGAAUGAUUUGAAAAUUAUAUUGUAUUUUUUUUUGUGUUUAAAGUUUUUUUUAUGUAUAUAAGUAAGUAUCUGUUUGAAGUCUAUAAAAAAAACCAUUUACUAUAUAUAUAUAUUGAAAAUAUAUAUAAUGUUCAAUGUAAACAAGUCGUCUUAGAUUUCACAAUUUUAAAUAUUUUCAUAUAUAAUUAUAAACAUGAUAAGAAUGGUUAAUAUUUAUGUAUACUGGUUAAAUUUGAGUUUUCCUCAAGUUAGAUUUUAUGGGACUUUUUUCUGUGUAUAUUUUGGACUUAAGGUAGCACAAUACAAAGAUUUUUCAUCCCCAAUCAGACAUCUUCAAGUGGGGACAUCACAAUAUAGCAACUAAUUACAUAAUAAUUAAUUAUGUAAUAAUUAUGUCAUAAUGAAAUUAUCACAAUUUGAAAGAUUAAUCUUUCUUCUUUCUUUUGGUACCUCAUUUAUAAAGUAUUUGUAAAGGACAGUAAACCCAAUAUUCAGUCGCUCUUCGGCCAUCACGCAUGCCAAGUUUUUUCUUUUCAUGAGGAAAGCACUGUUUAAAUGUUACAAGAUAUUUCAUUUACAUUUUUCAAUUUAGCUAUAUUUUGAUGAGAUACAUUUAAUACUCUGCCAACAAAUUGACCAUUAUUCAGACGAAGCUGAAUAUAUUCCGACAUCUUGAAAAUAUUUGUUCUGGUGUACGGGAGAUAACUCCCAUAGCAACAAACGCCGAUUUUCCGUUUUCCGCUAGAGGCGUUCAUUUACGUACCUCUCACCUUAAAGAUGCAUUUUAACCAAUUACUUGUCGAAAAUGUGAAAUCAGUAUAGAAAUUAGGAUAGGUUUAUUAUUUUUUGGUGAUUGAUUGUUUGCUUUGUGCCUCCUAAGCAUAAUAGUAUAAUAAAUAUUGUCUAGUACUUCUUACUUGAAAACUGCUUGUAUAAUAUUUUAUCUAUUUUUUUUAUAGAAAUGAUAGUAAUAUAAAACAAGAAGAUUUUUCCUUGAAAUACUAAGAAUACUGAGAAUUGAAGAUAAGCCUUAAGGUAUAUAUCCACAUUUUUUAUAGGAACUUUUAAAUUCUACAUUUUUUUCAACUGACAUGUGAUUUAUUUCACCCAAAGACUGUUCCUCAGCUAUCACUGUUUAAAAGAAAAUGUUUCCUAAAUAUAUAUCUAAUAUGCAAUGCUAUAAAGUGAGAUGGUAGCAUCAAAAAGGUAAUGGAAAAACAAUUUGAUUUUGAUAUUUAUCAUAUACAGGUGCAAACAAAUUCAGGGUGUUUAAAUGUUUUGAUUGGAACCAGCCUUCACCCUUACCUCAAACAAUAGUGUAACAUCACAAGAUAGAAAGACACACUAUAAAUUAUCAAUCAAAAGACAUAUAAACACAAACAAGUGAACAUACACUGAAUGAAUACAUUUGAUCUAUGAUACAAUGUAAAUAAAGCAUAUUUAGUAUAUUUGUAUUUCUUCACUUAUCAUCUUAUUAUCAAUUUUGAAAUGUAUUUGAAUCUUAAACAGCUGAAGAUCUACCUACUUUCAAAUUUAACAAAGUUAAUGAAAGCUAGGAUUUUUUUUGAAUAAUUGAUCUAUUAAAUUAAUAUUUUUGAUCAUGUUUGGAACAAAGUGCUUUGUAAGUCUAGGGAGGCUAAUAGACUAAUAUUGAAUUGUAAAUUGUAUAGUAUGUAUAUAUAUAUUCAAGUUGCACUAAAAUAUACAAAUAUUAUAUGUAAAAUAGAAUUACGGAAAAAGAAAUUAUUAAUAUAAUAUACAAAUAUAUGUGUGAAGAUAUAACAACCAAAGUAUAAUAAGAGGAUAGAAAUAGUCCUAACAUCUGCGAAAUAUACAAUUUUGACAUGUUUUUUCUUCAAUUAUUAUCAAUUUUGAAAUGUAUUUGAAUCUUAAACAGCUGAAGAUCUGCCUACUUUCAAACUUAACAAAUUUAAUGAAAGGUUUACCUUUUGAAAUAUAACCAACUGACGUCUUGUUUAAAAUAGCUAUUGAAUUUUCUAAUACAUCUUUGAUAAAUAUAAUUUUAGGCCAAUCUUCCAUACUACGAGAUAUUCAGGUAAAAAUAAGAAAAAGGACAUUGUUUGAAUACCUCAUUUUUCACUGCUAUUCAAAAGACUUUUUGAUUUUUUUUUUGUAUUUGACAUGACCUUUGCUAUUUUAUAGAUUUAUACUUAUGUUAAAAAAUAUGAUUGUAUAACUUGACAAAUUAUCAAUGCAGGUGCAUGGAAGAAAAUGUAAACCUUGAUAUAUGACUGGAUUAUAAAAGAGAGAAAGAAGAAAGAAGAUCGGCAUACCAAAUGAAAAAAUAGAACUUAAUGGAUUAAGGUAAAUAGUUUUUAAAUAUUCAUUUUAACUUUUCAAUAUAACAUGCAUAACAUAAAUCUAGCAGUAAUGUUUAGAAAUGUUUUAUGACCUUUCCCAGGGAUUCUUUAAUGAUCAUGAUGAUAAUAAUUAAUCAGGGGGAAAAACCCAAAUUAGAACUAUUAAAGACCUGUUUUUGUUGAAUAAGUAGAAGUUUAUCUCAGUGUGAAUCUGGCAAUUAUUUUACACAAUAACAAGUUAGUCAUAUAUGGCAUGUACUCAGUUAAGCAAAACAAAAAACGUUUACUGGCUUUUCAUGUGCACCUAUUUUUCAUGCAAAUGCUUAAUUUUAGGCUCUCAUUAAUAGCAAAAUGCUAGCUCUGACAUAUUAACCAAAGUGUUACAUACUAAGUAUCUGCAACUCUCCUCAUAUCAGAUAUACUUAUAUGGUUGUCACACAAUUAAUCCUCUGUCCUUCUUCAGGGUCUCUGUCUGAAAGAAGUAUCUUCAAUAUAUAUGAUUCAGUCAAUUUCUAAACCAGAUUGGAGAAGGUGUAUCAAUUUGUGAGGUCAGCUACAGUUUUCCAUGUUUUGUGUUUUGACCUGUAGCUCUUAAAGUUUGAAUAAGGCUACUGCAUGCUAACAUAAGUAUUAUUAGAUAAUUCAUAUUCUGUGAUUUAAGUCCUAUAGAACCUGUUAUUAGUAAAAACAUAGAGGGUACGUUUAUAGAAUGAUUGUUUUCAGUUUGAAUGAUAUAGGAUAUAUCUUGAGGUAUGUAAUAAUGUCAAUGAGAUAGCAACAUGAAUGAUACAUAAACUGUAAACACAAAUUUAAUUCAACUAAAAAAACUUAUAUGGGAAAAUCCACAGAAUGAAUCUCUUAAAAAUAUAUUAAAGUACACUUUGUUAAAAAGAUAUAGUUUUAGGAGUGUUACUUUUGUUAAUAGUUUUUCACAAAGGUGAGAUUUAAUGGACUAUAAUAAAAAUAAGAUACUUUUAGUAAAUGUAAAGGGAACAUUCGAACGGAUAUUGAUAAAAUAUUUUGUAGAAAUUCAAUAUUCAUUAUAUUCCAGGAAGAUACUCAUUGUUAAAGUUUCAGUUGAUGGCUUGAUAAUUUUUUUUAGCUUCAUCUAAUGACACUGGAAGAUAUUCAUUGUAUAAAUUUCAGUUGAUGGCUUGGUAAAUUGUUUAGGUUUCAGCUAAUUACACUUGACUUGAAGAUUCUCAUUGUUUAAAUUUCAGUUGAUGGCUUGUUAUGUUUAAGUUUCAUCUAAUGACACUGGACAAUAUUCAUUGUUUAAGUUUCAGUUGAUGGCUUGGUAAAUUGUUUAAGUUUCAUCUAAUGACUCUUGAAGAUACUAAUUGUUUAAAUUUCAGUUGAUGGGUUGAUAAAUUGUUUAAGUUUCAGCUUAUGACACUGAAAGAUACUUAUAGUUUAAGUUUAAGCUAAUGACACUGGAAGAUAUUCAUUGUUUAAGUUUCAGUUGAUGGCUCGGUAAAUUGUUUAAGUUUCAUCUAAUGACACUGGAAGAUUCUCAUUGUUUAAAUUUCAGUUGAUGGCUCAGUAAAUUGUUUAAGUUUCAUCUAAUGACACUGGAAAAUAUUCAUUGUUUAAGUUUAAGCUAAUGACUCUUGAAGAUAUUCAUUGUUUAAGUUUCAGUUGAUGGCUCGGUAAAUUGUUUAAUCUUCAUCUAAUGACACUGGAAAAUAUUCAUUGUUUAAGUUUCAGUUGAUGGGUUGAUAAAUUGUUUAAGUUUCAUCUAAUGACACUGGAAGAUUCUCAUUGUUUAAAUUUCAGUUGAUGGCUCGGUAAAUUGUUUAAGUUUCAUCUAAUGACACUGGAAAUAUUAUUGUUUAAGGUUUCAGUUGAUGGUUUGAAUAAUUGUUAAGUUUUCAUUAUGAUCUGAAGAUUCUCUUGGUUUAAAUUUCAGUUGAUGGUGUAUUGUUUAAGUUUCAUCUAUGAACUGGAAAAUAUUCUUGUUUAAGUUUCAGUUGAUGGGUUGAUAAAUUGUUUAUAGUUCAUCUAAUGACUCUUGAAGAUUUCAUUGGUUUAAAUUUCAGUUGAGUGGCUUGAUAAAUUGUUUAAGUUUCAUCUAAUGACUCUGAAGAUUCUAUUUUUAAUUAGUUUGUGGCUGAUAAAUUGUUUUAAGUUUCAUCUAAUGACACUUGAAGAUCUAUUGUUUAAUUUCAGUUGAUGGUUGAUAAAUUGUUUAGUUUAUCUAAUGAUCUGAAGAUUCUAUUGUUUAAAUUUCGUUGAUGGCUUAUAAAUUGUUUAAGUUUCAUCUAGAACUCUGAAAUUCUCAUGUUUAAAUUUCUAGUUGAUGGCUUGAAUAAUUAGUUUAAGUUUCAUCUAAUGACAUCUUGAAGAUUUCAUUGUUAAAUUUCAGUUGAUGGAAUGAAUAAAUUUUUAAGUUUCAUCUAAUGACUCUGAAGAUUCUCAUUGUUUAAAUUUAGUUGAUGGUUUGAUAUUGUUUAAGUUCAUCUAAUGAUCUUGAAGAAUUCCUAUUGUUUAAGAUUUCAGUUGAUGGUUUUGAUUAAAUUGUUUAGUUUCAUCUAAUGAUCUGAAGAUUCUCAUUGUUUAAAUUAUCAGUGAUGGUUUGAUAAUUGUUUAAGUUUCAUCUAAUGACACUGGAAGAUAUUCAUUGUUUAUGUCUCAAUUGAUCACAGGUUAAAGUUUUUCUGUGGAUUACAGAAUAAAGUUUUUGUGUUGGUAACCGGAUGAAGUUUCUCAGUUGGUGACGGGAUAAAGUUUUUCAGACGAUGAAAGGAUAAAGUUUUUUCAGUCAAUGAUAGGAUAUAGUUUCAUUUGAUGUCAGGAUAAACUGUUGAACAUGUUGAAGUUCCUGUUGAUGUCAGGAUAAACUAUUGAACAUGUUGAAGUUCCUGUUGAUAACAGGGUAAACUUUCUGUAAAUAAAACUUUUGUUAAACAUUAUGUAACAAUUUCUACUUUAUUUUAGAUAUAGUUUGACAAGAAAGAGUAAGCUAUGUAUUCUUUGAUUGGAACAGUGACUGUCCUGUUAGUUCUGUGUCAAACCCUGGUGGGAAUUACAUUUGUAAAGUCAGAUGAUUGUGCAAACAUAAGUGGAAGUAAGUUUAUGAACUAUUCUACUUUUGCAUUCAAAUGGCCAAAAAUAUAUAACAACUCUGAUAUUUCUACAAACCAAAGUACUGCUA
RNAcentral lists this long non-coding RNA (7554 nucleotides) under Mytilus galloprovincialis (Mediterranean mussel). The record is from RNAcentral. Lineage: Eukaryota; Metazoa; Mollusca; Bivalvia; Mytilida; Mytilidae.